UAAGUAAAACGCCUUAUCGCUCGAAGUUUAGCUUCGGGAGGAAAGUCCGAACACCGUAGUGCAACAUAGUGGCUAAUAACCACCAGCCGUGAGGUUAGGAAAAGUGCAACAGAAAGUAUGUACAGGUCAUGCUGUAGUGAAACCAGGUAAACUCUAUGUGGUGCAAUGCCAUGUAUACCAACGUUUGAGGGCUGCACGCUCGAUUGUUGGAGGGUAGGCAGCUAAAGUGUAUUGGUAACAAUGUACUGAGAUAAAUGAUAAGGGCUUUUUCUUUUUUAAGAAAGAGUACAGAAUUCGGCUUAUAGAUUUACUUAUUUA
RNAcentral lists this RNase P RNA (318 nucleotides) under Flaviramulus sp. Its description in RNAcentral is "RNase P RNA component class A". It matches the Rfam family "Bacterial RNase P class A". From Rfam's summary of the family: Ribonuclease P (RNase P) is a ubiquitous endoribonuclease, found in archaea, bacteria and eukarya as well as chloroplasts and mitochondria. Its best characterised activity is the generation of mature 5'-ends of tRNAs by cleaving the 5'-leader elements of precursor-tRNAs. Cellular RNase Ps are ribonucleoproteins. The record is from RNAcentral. Lineage: Bacteria; Pseudomonadati; Bacteroidota; Flavobacteriia; Flavobacteriales; Flavobacteriaceae.